This 111-nucleotide ribosomal RNA is filed under the name uncultured archaeon. RNAcentral describes it as "partial 16S ribosomal RNA". The record is from RNAcentral.
UACAUGAGCACKYKGAGUUCCCYUAUCACACUUUCGUGCAUUGUAAAGUUUUCGCGCCUGCUGCGCCCCGUGGGGCGGGGGCGGCGGGACGGGCGCGGGGCGCGGCGGGCG